AUUGAACGCUGGCGGCAUGCCUUACACAUGCAAGUCGAACGGUAACAGGUCUUCGGAUGCUGACGAGUGGCGCACGGGUGAGUAAUACAUCGGAACGUGCCCGAUCGUGGGGGAUAACGAAGCGAAAGCUUUGCUAAUACCGCAUACGAUCUACGGAUGAAAGCAGGGGACCGCAAGGCCUUGCGCGAACGGAGCGGCCGAUGGCAGAUUAGGUAGUUGGUGGGAUAAAAGCUUACCAAGCCGACGAUCUGUAGCUGGUCUGAGAGGACGACCAGCCACACUGGGACUGAGACACGGCCCAGACUCCUACGGGAGGCAGCAGUGGGGAAUUUUGGACAAUGGGCGAAAGCCUGAUCCAGCCAUGCCGCGUGCAGGAUGAAGGCCUUCGGGUUGUAAACUGCUUUUGUACGGAACGAAAAGACUCUGGUUAAUACCUGGGGUCCAUGACGGUACCGUAAGAAUAAGCACCGGCGAACUACGU
This 481-nucleotide ribosomal RNA is filed under the name uncultured bacterium. RNAcentral's name for it is "partial 16S ribosomal RNA". It matches the Rfam family "Bacterial small subunit ribosomal RNA", at positions 30 to 506 of the family's 1533-position model. The record is from RNAcentral.